This 437-nucleotide ribosomal RNA is filed under the name Kiritimatiellales bacterium. RNAcentral's name for it is "bacterial SSU rRNA". It matches the Rfam family "Bacterial small subunit ribosomal RNA", at positions 195 to 626 of the family's 1533-position model. The record is from RNAcentral. Lineage: Bacteria; Pseudomonadati; Kiritimatiellota; Kiritimatiellia; Kiritimatiellales.
GGGGAAUCUUCGGAUCCUACCACGAAGAGAUGAGCCCAUGUCCUAUCAGCUAGUUGGUGAGGUAAUGGCUCACCAAGGCUUACGGGUAGCCGGCCUGAGAGGGUGAUCGGCCACACUGGGACUGAGACACUGCCCAGACUCCUACGGGAGGCUGCAGUCGAGAAUCAUUGACAAUGUACGAAAGUAUGAUCAUGCGACGCCGCGUGGAGGAAGACGGCCUUUGGGUUGUAAACUCCUGUCAGCAGGGAAGAAAGGUAGCAUUACUAAUAAUUUUGCUAUUUGACGGUACCUGCAGAGGAAGUCACGGCUAACUCUGUGCCAGCAGCCGCGGUAAUACAGAGGUGGCGAACGUUGUUCGGAUUUACUGGGCGUAAAGGGUCCGCAGGCGGAUCGGUGUGUCAGAUGUGAAAGCCCACAGCUUAACUGUGGAAUUGCAU